GUGGACUCGUACAGUGCAGUUCUUGAGCGCUGUCCUAUGCAACCUGACGACUGCUCGCCGUACGGUGAGUGCAAUGACUUUGUCGGCU
This 88-nucleotide small RNA is filed under the name Xanthomonas arboricola. RNAcentral describes it as "sX9". The record is from RNAcentral. Lineage: Bacteria; Pseudomonadati; Pseudomonadota; Gammaproteobacteria; Lysobacterales; Lysobacteraceae.